CCCCUGUCAGGGUCACACCUGGAGACUUUCCAGUACCCUACCAGUUUUGGCUAUGGAAGGGAGAGUCAAGCAGAGGCAUACCCAUUCCAUUCCUAGCUUGGGCAGAGGCUAGUGAGUGGAAGGCAGUCUGCUACAAGU
RNAcentral lists this small nucleolar RNA (138 nucleotides) under Ornithorhynchus anatinus (platypus). Lineage: Eukaryota; Metazoa; Chordata; Mammalia; Monotremata; Ornithorhynchidae. The record is from RNAcentral.